UGCAGUCGAACGGUGACGACGGGGCUUGCUCUGUCUGAUCAGUGGCGAACGGGUGAGUAACACGUGAGUAACCUGCCCCCGACUCUGGAAUAACCGUGGGAAACGACGGCUAAUACCGGAUAUGAGACGCACGGGCAUCUGUGUGUCUGGAAAGAUUUAUCGGUCAGGGAUGGACUCGCGGCCUAUCAGCUUGUUGGUGGGGUAAUGGCCUACCAAGGCGACGACGGGUAGCCGGCCUGAGAGGGCGACCGGCCACACUGGGACUGAGAUACGGCCCAGACUCCUACGGGAGGCAGCAGUGGGGAAUAUUGCACAAUGGGCGCAAGCCUGAUGCAGCGACGCCGCGUGAGGGAUGAAGGCCUUCGGGUUGUAAACCUCUUUCAGCAGGGAAGAAGCGAAAGUGACGGUACCUGCAGAAGAAGCGCCGGCUAACUACGUGCCAGCAGCCGCGGUAAUACGUAGGGCGCAAGCGUUGUCCGGAAUUAUUGGGCGUAAAGAGCUCGUAGGCGGUUUGUCGCGUCUGCUGUGAAAACCUGAGGCUCAACCUCGGGCUUGCAGUGGGUACGGGCAGACUAGAGUGCGGUAGGGGUGACUGGAAUUCCUGGUGUAGCGGUGGAAUGCGCAGAUAUCAGGAGGAACACC
This 642-nucleotide ribosomal RNA is filed under the name Cellulomonas cellasea. RNAcentral's name for it is "bacterial SSU rRNA". It matches the Rfam family "Bacterial small subunit ribosomal RNA", at positions 56 to 710 of the family's 1533-position model. Lineage: Bacteria; Bacillati; Actinomycetota; Actinomycetes; Micrococcales; Cellulomonadaceae. The record is from RNAcentral.